UUAAGUGAAUAAGGGCGCACGGUGGAUGCCUUGGCACUAGGAGCCGAUGAAGGACGGGACUAACACCGAUAUGCUUUGGGGAGCUGUAAGUAAGCUAUGAUCCAGAGAUUUCCGAAUGGGGGAACCCAAUAUCUUUUAUAGGAUAUUACUUUUCAGUGAAUACAUAGCUGAUUAGAGGUAGACGCAGAGAACUGAAACAUCUUAGUACCUGCAGGAAGAGAAAGAAAAUUCGAUUCCCUGAGUAGCGGCGAGCGAAACGGGAAGAGCCCAAACCAACAAGCUUGCUUGUUGGGGUUGUAGGACUCCAAUAUGGUAGUCUGUUAGUAUAGUUGAAGGAUUUGGAAAAUUCCGCUAAAGAGGGUGAAAGCCCCGUAGACGAAAUGCUGACAACACCUAGGAGGAUCCUGAGUACGGCGGAACACGAGAAAUUCCGUCGGAAUCCGCGGGGACCAUCCCGCAAGGCUAAAUACUCCCUAGUGACCGAUAGUGAACCAGUACCGUGAGGGAAAGGUGAAAAGCACCCCGGAAGGGGAGUGAAAUAGAUCCUGAAACCGUGUGCCUACAACAAGUCAAAGCUCGUUAAUGAGUGAUGGCGUGCCUUUUGUAGAAUGAACCGGCGAGUUACGAUUGCAUGCGAGGUUAAGUCGAAGAGACGGAGCCGCAGCGAAAGCGAGUCUGAAUAGGGCGAAUGAGUAUGUAGUCGUAGACCCGAAACCAUGUGAUCUACCCAUGUCCAGGUUGAAGGUGCGGUAAAACGCACUGGAGGACCGAACCCACGUACGUUGAAAAGUGCGGGGAUGAGGUGUGGGUAGCGGAGAAAUUCCAAACGAACUUGGAGAUAGCUGGUUCUCUCCGAAAUAGCUUUAGGGCUAGCCUCGGAAUUGAGAAUGAUGGAGGUAGAGCACUGUUUGGACUAGGGGCCCAUCUCGGGUUACCGAAUUCAGAUAAACUCCGAAUGCCAUUCAUUUAUAUCCGGGAGUCAGACUGCGAGUGAUAAGAUCCGUAGUCGAAAGGGAAACAGCCCAGACCACCAGCUAAGGUCCCAAAAUAUAUGUUAAGUGGAAAAGGAUGUGGGGUUGCACAGACAACUAGGAUGUUGGCUUAGAAGCAGCCACCAUUUAAAGAGUGCGUAAUAGCUCACUAGUCGAGUGACCCUGCGCCGAAAAUGUACCGGGGCUAAACAUAUUACCGAAGCUGUGGACUACACCAUUAGGUGUAGUGGUAGGAGAGCGUUCUAAGGGCGUUGAAGGUCGAUCGUGAGGACGGCUGGAGCGCUUAGAAGUGAGAAUGCCGGUAUGAGUAGCGAAAGACAGGUGAGAAUCCUGUCCACCGUAUGACUAAGGUUUCCUGGGGAAGGCUCGUCCGCCCAGGGUUAGUCGGGACCUAAGCCGAGGCCGAUAGGCGUAGGCGAUGGACAACAGGUUGAUAUUCCUGUACCAGUUGUUUUUGUUUGAGCAAUGGAGGGACGCAGUAGGCUAAGGAAUGCAUGCGAUUGGAAGUGCAUGUCCAAGCAAUGAGUCUUGAGUAGAGUUAAAUGCUUUACUCUCUAAGGACAAGUUGUGACGGGGAGCGAAAUAAUAGUAGCGAAGUUCCUGAUGUCACACUGCCAAGAAAAGCUUCUAGUGAGAAAACAACUGCCCGUACCGUAAACCGACACAGGUAGUCGAGGAGAGUAUCCUAAGGUGAGCGAGCGAACUCUCGUUAAGGAACUCGGCAAAAUGACCCCGUAACUUCGGGAGAAGGGGUGCUGACUUCGGUCAGCCGCAGUGAAUAGGCCCAAGCGACUGUUUAUCAAAAACACAGGUCUCUGCAAAAUCGUAAGAUGAAGUAUAGGGGCUGACGCCUGCCCGGUGCUGGAAGGUUAAGAGGAUGGGUUAGCUUCGGCGAAGCUCAGAAUUGAAGCCCCAGUAAACGGCGGCCGUAACUAUAACGGUCCUAAGGUAGCGAAAUUCCUUGUCGGGUAAGUUCCGACCCGCACGAAAGGCGUAACGAUUUGGGCACUGUCUCAACGAGAGACUCGGUGAAAUUUUAGUACCUGUGAAGAUGCAGGUUACCCGCGACAGGACGGAAAGACCCCAUGGAGCUUUACUGUAGUUUGAUAUUGAGUGUUUGUACCACAUGUACAGGAUAGGUAGGAGCCGAUGAGACCGGAACGCUAGUUUCGGAGGAGGCGCUGGUGGGAUACUACCCUUGUGUUAUGAACCCUCUAACCCGCACCACUAAUCGUGGUGGGAGACAGUGUCAGAUGGGCAGUUUGACUGGGGCGGUCGCCUCCUAAAAGGUAACGGAGGCGCCCAAAGGUUCCCUCAGAAUGGUUGGAAAUCAUUCGAAGAGUGUAAAGGCAGAAGGGAGCUUGACUGCGAGACCUACAAGUCGAGCAGGGACGAAAGUCGGGCUUAGUGAUCCGGUGGUUCCGCAUGGAAGGGCCAUCGCUCAACGGAUAAAAGCUACCCUGGGGAUAACAGGCUUAUCUCCCCCAAGAGUCCACAUCGACGGGGAGGUUUGGCACCUCGAUGUCGGCUCGUCGCAUCCUGGGGCUGUAGUCGGUCCCAAGGGUUGGGCUGUUCGCCCAUUAAAGCGG
This 2581-nucleotide ribosomal RNA is filed under the name human gut metagenome. RNAcentral describes it as "bacterial LSU rRNA". It matches the Rfam family "Bacterial large subunit ribosomal RNA", at positions 1 to 2596 of the family's 2925-position model. The record is from RNAcentral.